RNAcentral lists this ribosomal RNA (465 nucleotides) under uncultured Caryophanales bacterium. Its description in RNAcentral is "bacterial SSU rRNA". It matches the Rfam family "Bacterial small subunit ribosomal RNA", at positions 338 to 795 of the family's 1533-position model. Lineage: Bacteria; Bacillati; Bacillota; Bacilli; Caryophanales. The record is from RNAcentral.
CCUACGGGUGGCAGCAGUAGGGAAUCUUCCGCAAUGGGCGAAAGCCUGACGGAGCAACGCCGCGUGAGUGAAGAAGGAUUUCGGUUCGUAAAGCUCUGUUGUUAGGGAAGAAUGAUUGUGUAGUAACUAUACACAGUAGAGACGGUACCUAACCAGAAAGCCACGGCUAACUACGUGCCAGCAGCCGCGGUAAUACGUAGGUGGCAAGCGUUGUCCGGAAUUAUUGGGCGUAAAGCGCGCGCAGGUGGUUUAAUAAGUCUGAUGUGAAAGCCCACGGCUCAACCGUGGAGGGUCAUUGGAAACUGUUAAACUUGAGUGCAGGAGAGAAAAGUGGAAUUCCUAGUGUAGCGGUGAAAUGCGUAGAGAUUAGGAGGAACACCAGUGGCGAAGGCGGCUUUUUGGCCUGUAACUGACACUGAGGCGCGAAAGCGUGGGGAGCAAACAGGAUUAGAUACCCUUGUAGUC